CAGCAAAAACUCUGAAAGUCUGGCAGUACUUCUGUAGCAGUCAAAGACAGCAUUGUUGCUUCAAUUAAAAAAGCACAGACCCCAGUGGCCUUUACCAAUGACUUCUCUGUCCUGUUCUUGGGGUACCCAUGAAAUGGCACUAUAAAUCAAAAGGUGACUGCACUUUGUUAUUGCUACAGAACCUACCAGGCAAAAUUUUCAGUGAAAGACUUCAUGUAAGCAUUGCUGUUCUUUAUCCGUGAAGCUACAACAGUAACUUUGCUGGGAAGUGGUUUGUCAGCUAGAGCUGGUCAGGCUGCAAGAGCUGGGAAAUGCUUUGUAGUUCAAAGGGGUUAUGUGUCUGCCAGAUUUCACACAACUCAUUAAAAAGGAACUUUAAAUACUGCAAACAAAUCCACCCUCAACUCAAACAUGGAAGGCAAUAUGGGAAAGCAUAGUGGUUCUACUUGCAUAUGAAUCUCUCCCUUUUGCACAGAACAAGACUUCAACCACUUCAAGCAAGAGAAACCUGCAUGGCUAUACCAGAUUCCUUCCACAUCACCUGCCUGCCACUGUACUUGUUUACCUCUCCCCUCCCUUCACACUUUCCCCCCUAUCCCCUUGUAUACUCCCUCCUCAUUCCUCUUCCCUCAGCCUGUCCUUUGCAAUGCCCUGUGUUUUGUGAUAAUGUCAAAUAUGCCUCUGUCCAGAGCCCAGCUAGGCCACACUGGCUAAUGUUGCUGCAGAAGAGUAUGUAGCUGAAGUCUUUGUGUCAUGCAGAAAAAUAUUUCCAUCCAUCCUGCCAAUCCAUUUCUUUCAAGGAAAUAAUUUCAUACCACACUUACUUAUUUUAAGACCUUCCUCUCUACAGCCAGUAAAAGGAUAGACCAUUUUAAAAAACAGCAAGGUUUAGUUGCCCGUGUUCAUAAUCCCAUCCAUACCUUUCUCAUAGUAUUUUUAACCUUGAUGUUAAAAAGCUGAAAUGAACCUUAAUCAGAACAUCUGUUUUGUUUUCUAAUACAUUUAAGAGGUUUUUUAAAGGAGAAAAUGAGCAAUUCAGAAAAAAAAUUUCCUAAAUCCUAGUUUCCUUUUUUUAAUAACUGUAACUUCAAUUCUCUACUCCCAAAACCGCAGAGGUAUUAUUGAGAUUUUGUAACAGAGUACUGCUUUAGACUUCAAACCUCAGCAAAAAAGACAGCAAGCCAAAAUGUGAGCUUGUAUGUGCCAGGAAAAGAAGCAAAGCAAAGUAAACCAACAAAAACAACAACAACAACAACAAAAAAUAACUACCUGUAUUGCACUGCUAGAGAACUGAAGGAGAAACCUCCUCUUAUGCUGAUAUGAGGAAUAAACUUGAAGGCUGGAUGCAGUUGUUUAUGAAAAGGCUCAAACAAGAACUGUAGGACCCAGGGUAGGACCUUUGCAGUUGUGAAAUUAUGACAUUGCUAGUAAAACUCAACCUUGGUUGAGGUGUAUGGGGGGAAGAAAAAGCACUUUUCCUUUCCACUGGAGCAAUAUGUGGGUCUAGUUAUGACUAGGUCACUUAGUAAUAAUUAAUUUUCUGUGGGCUGUACAGAAAUAGCAAGUGGCUACUCUGAAGGUCAGGGAGGGAAGAAGAGUUUGUGGGAAAACUAUGAAAAUUUCCAAGAUAUUUGGGAUAUAAGGGUAAGAAGAUAUGGUCCUAAACUGUGACUUCAGAGUCUGCAGUGAAUGGUGUUAGGUUGAAUACCCUCAGGGUACAGCCUUUAUUGUUUUAGGCAGAACAAUAGGUAAUAGAAAUGGAAAACUUUACUUAGAAAAGAUGGCUUUCCUGCCAUGAUAUAUGGAGGUGGGGGAUAAACCAUAUUAUGUUGUGUCAUAAUAUGUCUCAAAAAUGUGCCUGAAAUACUGAAAAGCAUUGAGAAUUCAGUGUGAUUACAGAAAACAAAAAGUAAUAUUAAAGUUUCUGAAAGAGUCUCUUUUCCUCUCUUCCUUGUUAGAUUCAGUCCUAGACAAGAUAAGACUUUGCAAAUGAAACCUGUUUUGAAAGUAAAGUCAUGGGUAUGUCUAAUCUUCCAGGUAUUUUUUUACCUGACUUUAUACAUGUGUUUAGUUGAUGCCACCAUUUUUUAACCUAAAUUGUAUUUUGAAUUACUGAUGAUGUAAUUUCACGGCGUAGGUAUUCUUUUUUGCAGCUCAAACCAUCAGAGCCCAGUGGGGGUUUAUUCAUAUACUUGAGGUUUAUCCCUCAGUCAUAAACCUUGUUAUAAACCUUCUAGCUAGGAAGAUAGAUAGACCUGGGAGAAUGAGACAGCCCCUCCCACACCAAGGGGCUGCAUGGAAUCCAGUAGAGGGCUUUCCAUUUCACUGUCUAGUGGCUGAUUUCACUUACUCCUCAUCCAAAAGUCCCUGAGCUUUUAUAAGCAAGCACAUUUCUUGUCAAAAAUGUUGCAUUUCUCUUGUGUUAA
Pseudopipra pipra is the source of this 2426-nucleotide long non-coding RNA. RefSeq lists it as uncharacterized. NCBI's taxonomy places the organism in Eukaryota, Metazoa, Chordata, Aves, Passeriformes, Pipridae. The record is from RefSeq and is a predicted model, not a curated record. The transcript is spliced from 3 exons.